This 1324-nucleotide long non-coding RNA is filed under the name Homo sapiens (human). RNAcentral's name for it is "HSALNT0256474". The record is from RNAcentral. Lineage: Eukaryota; Metazoa; Chordata; Mammalia; Primates; Hominidae.
CCCAGGCUAGAGUGCAGUGGCACGAUCUUGGCUCACUGCAACCUCCACCUCCCAGGUUCAAGCGAUUCUCCUGCCUCAGCCUCCCGGGUAGCUGGGACUACAGGUGCCCACCACCAUGCCUGGCUAAUUUUUUUUGUAUUUUUAGUAGAGAUGGGGUUUCACCAUGUUGGCCAGGCUGGUCUCGAACUCCUGACCUCAAGUGAUCCGCCUGACUCAGCCUCCUAAAGUGCUGGGAUUACAGAAUUAAAUAGCCCAUUUAUUAAUUUAUAAACCAUAAUAAAACCAGACAGUCAUUUCCCGUCACCAGCAGAUCUUGCAUUGGAAAAGGAAAAUAAUAUACAAAUUUCAGCAACUUCAGAGAUUUCAGGAAGCCUGAAUGGAGGUCGAAUUCAUUUUGGAGUUCAAUAAUAUGUUCAAAGAAUCAGGUACUAUAUAUAAUCAUAUAGACAACUCCCGUAAUAUCUCCGCAGUGCAAAAUUAUCCCUGUUUCUUGUCAUUCACCAGUGAGAAAAAUCCAACUGCAGACUUGACUGCCUUCGGUGAAGGCACACGGCAAGUUCUUCUGACAAAUAACACCCUUUGGGAUUGACUCUUCACGUUUUACACAGCAAUUGUCUCAGCUUGGGACCAAAGUAUUUACAAAGCAAGCGAACAAGAGACGAAGCAAGAGGGACACUUCUGAGGCCGGUGGUGCGGAAACUCACCGCCAAACAGGGUGGGGGGCCAGUCACCUCUUCAGGAGUGUCCCAUGUGUCAGCUGACAUAACAUCUUAAAUACAGAAUUCCAAUUGAAAGAAAAACAAACAACAACAAAAGAAACACCAGUCAAGCAUAAGUGAUGUUACUUCCUCUCUGAACAGGGAAACAUCUCGCUCGCUGGGAGAUAAAAGGUAAAUCUCUCAUUUGCUGCUCUCUUCCCCUAAGUGCCAGCAAGAAGCUGGGUGUGGUGAUGAAGAAAGAAGGCAGCCAUCACCUAAGACCCCACAAGCCAAGCCGUGGUCCCCUCCGUGAGGGCACGGUCCUUUCAUGAAGCCGUAAAAGAGACCACAGCUCGGACCUGAGCACUCAGGGUUACCUACUGGGGUCUUGUCAUAUUCCUUAUGUUGAUUUCUGCCAAGACCCAAACUGAUUCCUUUUUUUUUUUUUUUUUUUUGAGACAGAGUCUCACUCUGUCACCAAGGCUGGAGUGCAGUGGUGUGAUCUCAGCUCGCUGAAACCUCCACCUCCUGGGCUCAAGUGAUUCUCCUGCCUCAGCCUCCCAAGUAGCUGGGAUUACAGGCAGGUGCCACCAUGCCUGGCUAAUUUUUGUUUUAGUAGAGAUGGG